UACGAAGGGUGCUAGCGUUACUCGGAAUUACUGGGCGUAAAGAGCGCGUAGGCGGCUUGAUAAGUUGGAAGUGAAAUCCCAGAGCUCAACUCUGGAAUUGCUUUCAAAACUAUUUAGCUAGAGAUUGGUAGGGGACAGUGGAAUUCCUAGUGUAGAGGUGAAAUUCGUAGAUAUUAGGAGGAACACCGGUGGCGAAGGCGACUGUCUGGGCCAAAUCUGACGCUGUGGCGCGAAAGCGUGGGGAGCAAACAGG
Molecule: ribosomal RNA, 253 nt
Filed under: uncultured bacterium
Lineage: Bacteria
Description: partial 16S ribosomal RNA
Rfam family: Bacterial small subunit ribosomal RNA
Source: RNAcentral